Molecule: long non-coding RNA, 142 nt
Organism: Ipomoea nil (Japanese morning glory)
Lineage: Eukaryota; Viridiplantae; Streptophyta; Magnoliopsida; Solanales; Convolvulaceae
Exons: 3
Source: RefSeq, a predicted model, not a curated record
GGAGCUUCUUCUUCUUCCCAAGCUUAGGUUUCAAGACUAGAUGGUAAAGAAGAAGACCUAGCUUGAGGUUGGAGAUGGAAGAAUUCUUGAGGUUGAAGCUUGAGUGGCCGGGCCCUUGUGGCUCAGCUACGUGUCGUUUCGG